CUCAAUGAUGCAUUCAAAGACAAUGGAAGGGAUUCCUCAUGCCGAAGAUAUACAUGUAGAUACAACCUCUUACAAGUUUCAGCCUUGUCUGACU
RNAcentral lists this small nucleolar RNA (94 nucleotides) under Coniochaeta ligniaria NRRL 30616. RNAcentral describes it as "A. fumigatus snoRNA Afu_455". It matches the Rfam family "A. fumigatus snoRNA Afu_455". Lineage: Eukaryota; Fungi; Ascomycota; Sordariomycetes; Coniochaetales; Coniochaetaceae. The record is from Rfam by way of RNAcentral.